AUGUAUAAGAUAGUGGCAUUUAGGUGUUAAAACACUUCCAAAUAUUUCUGUCAUCUCUGAAAGGAACGCAUGUACAAGUACUUCUAGAUUUGCUAGUUCAUCUUUCCUCAACUUAGCUGCCAUGACAAUAUCUGCAAUCUCUUUACAUAAUAAGAACACGUGCCAAUAUCUGGUGCCAGGAGGAACACGAUGACCCAUUAUAAAUGGCAACAAUCUGAAAAGACACCAUUUCUGAGCAGCUGUUCCUACGAUCCCUGAGGUUUGAAGAAGUCAUUCGGACAACAGCACAGGCUUAUUGGCCUUGUUAUUCUGACCAAAACAGAACUUUUGAAGCUCUUCAUUUAUCUCAGUUAUAGUUAUAUGCUUUUGUUUAUGAGCUUUGCAAAUAACAUGCUUCAAUGUCAGUGGAAAAACUCCCUCCAACAUUUCAUGCAUGAUGUCUGGGGGCAAAGACUUGGUCACAUCAAAAUAACCUAGCGCAUCAAAUGAACAAGUGCUGCGUUCACCAUACAAAGCAGCAUUUUCUUUGUUAUGCUGGACACACUGGAGAUGAUAUUCGUAGACUUCAGUUGUUCUUAGAACAAAACUAUCUUCCUGGAGUUUUUGAUUAAUUUCUGAAUGCGUUGCCAUACAAUAACGACAAAUUUGACCCAAGUUAAAACGCAUGCGAAAGCCACCAAUCAUAUGCGAUGACAGAUUGUCAGCAGAAAACGUUGCUAAAGCGGCAUAAACUUUGUGUUCUGUUCCACAGACAUUCACAGUGAAGCCAUCAGUUGAAAGCUGUUUUAGGUCAUCUAUCAAUGGUUUUAAUAUGAUAUCCAUACCAAACUCUUUCAAAUGUGAAUGACGAACCAGCAGAGCUAAAUGAAUGUGCUUAAGACGAGAUCGAUACUUUCCACCUAAAUUUCCAACUGUGUAGUAAAAUCCACACAACUUAUACUUCAUUCUCUUAGGACCUAAAGGGUUAACUAUUUCAAAUUCGUCUUCAUAUAAAUUAAGUCUUAAUGCAUCUGGAUGUUCUCUAAAAAACAAAUGUUCCUUAAAAUAAAGACCAUCUUUAUAGUCCAUCAGAAACAGUUCAUCUUGGACCUUGUUAUUUUCAGAUGGUAUUUGAUUCCAGACAUCUUCAUGGGAACAGUAUUUUUUUUAAAACUUCAGAGAUGGGAACAUAGGAAUAGGUUCCUAUUUUGUUCCCUGAAGGGCCUCUCAGUGUGUGGUGAACAGAUUCUGUAUAGUCCAUCUUGGCCUUACAGUGUUCUUUAAUCUUAUGCGGAGAACGAACCACCUCAAAAUCUUUAUCAAAGAAAUCAGAUGAAUCCAAAACCUGCUGAAGUUCAGGGCACUUUGAAAUAUCAAAACCACUAUUUUCAAGAUGAUGAGAAAUAAAAUCAUCAUAGUUCUCUUUAAAAAAAAAAAGAAGAGAAAUUUGACAUCAUCUACAAUGUCUUGUUGGACUGACAAAUGUAGAAGGUUUUUCUCUCUGCAUUUUAAGAAUGAAUCCAAAUAGAUGUUCUUGAAAAUCUUCUAAAAGUUUAUCUAAAAGUGGCAUAACUUGAGGAUCAGAGGAAUUUGGAUCAGAUUAAUUUUGCUAAUCAGGGUUCAGGCUGUGUUGCUGUACUGCUGACUCUUCUUCACUGGGACAGUCAAUUCUGUCAUCAGAUUGUCAAACAAAGGAUCUGUGCUUCCUGUAAACAUGUUUUCUAUAAGAAUGAUAACAAGAAAACGUUGACUGGCACUCAUGUUCUUCAGGUGUGGUGGAUAUGUGAUGUUGUGUGCACUGGCACACAACCAUGCCAUCCACCUUCACCACGCUGUGCCCUCCUCCAAUGAUUGCCAUCUUCCAAUCAUUCUCCAUCAGUUGAAUGGUUGGAAAGGGGGUAGCAGGGUCCUCCUACAUAAAAGAAAAGUCAGUCAUUUUAGCCUUUUAUUAUAUAUUGAAAAUUCCCUGUAUAUAUUGUAGAUGGUUUUACAGGUACAUUUACUCUAGAACUUUCAUACUAAAGCUGGAGACAUCUUUAAAAAAAAAAGUUAUGGCAUAAAUGAAGCACAUCUACUGGAGACAGAAAAGUCCCAAAUCCAAAUUAUCUUUGUCUGUUCAUAUACUAACAUGAGGUCCACCAGCCAGCAUUGCAGGAUAAUUCAGAAGCCUACCUCUUUCAAAGUAAUGUAGUGUUCGAUCUUUUCUCUGAAGAUGGAUGGCAAGAGGAUAAGCCCAGCCCUUAAGUCAAUUCCUGCAAUGUGGAAAAAUAUGCUACUUUCUCAAUCACAUAUUUUGCAAUGUGGUAAAGCAAAUUACAUAUAUUGUGACUAUCUCUACCUGGUAGAUCUUCAGCCAGGGCAUCCUGUCUUGUUUCAGAGUACUGUUUUGCUAGGGGGGAUUUUGCUGUGGCAAGUUUCAGCACAUUUGGCAGAACUCUAGCAAAGCCCUCUCUGAAGCGAUGACAGAAGCUGCUUGGUGAGGGAUGGAUUUGGUCAGUCUCAUCAAAGAACUGUAGAAUGUGAAGACAUGAAUAACAUUCAGUGCAUCACUGAAAGCAAAUUUAUUUUAAUUAAAUGUUUUAUUUAAUUAAAUGUUUAUUUUCCGUGACAGCAAUAGACAUGUCUUCAAUUUCACAGUUUCCAAAAUCGUAAUUGCAUCCCUCUAUCAUUCAGAUGUUUUCAAUACUCACUCCAUCAGGCGUUCUUAAGUAUGGGUACUUUUUGACUACAUCCUCCACAGACAUUCCUUCCAUGAUUUCUCGAUUUGUUGUAAUUUUCUGAUCACACAGAAAAUUACAACAGUUAUAGACGAAUAACUGUAAAACACAGACAGAUCAUCGCAUUCAAAUUUUAACUUGAGAGUGUGUUCAUGACCAUUAGUAUUUAACUAGUUACUAAUAUUUACCCUAAUUCCGAUCGCACGUGAAGGCAGCAUAACAACGCUGAGCUCUUGUGCAAGACGCUGCAAAAGACGCAAGACGUGAUAGUCUUGCCUGAAAAAAAAUUUAAACGCUGUUUGAGCAUAAGAAACAAAAUUUAUAGGAUAGGUUAUCUAAGUUUUUGUUGUAAAAUUGAAAAAAAAAAAGAUUAAUUUGAGCAGAUUUCGAUAUUCCACAGCAGACGGCGCGAAGCAGGAAAAAUGGGUUGCGCCAUAAUUAAUUUUGUACCUAAAAAUAAAAAAAAAGGUUCACAGUUGUCACCUUAAGGACCAUUUCCUGUACCGUACAGGGUACUUUCAUGGGAAAUGUACCAUUAGGUACAGAAACGAUACCCCUAUUUUUCUGUGUGAAUGUCUUUGGGAGGAGCUAGUCUAAUUGACACACCAGGAGUGGGAAGCUCUUCACAUCUUGAUGGUAUUUAAUUGUUUGACUUACUUGUGUUAGGGUGGUUUGCUUAUCAGGUCAAUUGAAUUGUUUAAUAGCUGGUGGAAUUGGCAGCUAAAGUUCCACUGUUGUAAUAAUAAAUUAUAAGUUUAUAUAUACAUCUUGAAAUGUAUUGGUAUUGGCAUCAACUAAUGAAAUGUUGGUAUUUUAAGACAUACUUUUUAACAUUAUACGUACACUAGUGGUAAAAGAAUCAUAAUAAUUUAUGUGAGAACUAUGAAAGGCCUACCAGUGGUUGUACAGUUCACCUGACUCUUCUUUUGGGGGUGAGGUACUGAAGAAGUAUCUUUAAAAAAAAAGAAAAAUUAUUUUAUUACUUUUUAACCCUUUACUUGUAAACUGCUUUCACAUACUUGAUUCAUGUUCUAAUCAGAGCUGCUGAGACACACUGGUUGUUUUUUUUUUUUUUUUUUUUCCUUUUUGGGACGUAAUCAGAGCUCUCAAGCUGCUUUUUUGAUUAACUUUAUAGAGGUUUCAUAGUCCUAAUGAAGUAAAAUAUGGUGAGUGCAAUUUAGCAUUCCUUUAUAGUAGUUGCACUAACAUUUUGUUUAAAUAGACCUUUAAAAAUAAAAAGAAAUGCCUGUUUUUGCAAACACCCUGACCCUGUACCAGGUCCCAUUUUCUUUAUCAGACAGUUCAAGUCUUUUAAUUUAAUUUUUUUUUUUUGUUGGUUUUUUUUUGUUUUUUUUGGACACAUUCAUUGUUGGCCAGUAGCAGUAUUGUACCUACAUUAAUCCUGUACAACUGAAUUAUGAUAUAAAUGGAUAUAUGCACAGUCUUGGGUCCUUGUAGAGAGUUUUUUUCUCUCUCUCUCUCUCUCUCUCUCUUCCAGUCUUUUAGCAACCUGAAUCAGUGGGUUUCUGGCAGAAUGUACCAUCCUCUUCAGUGUCUGCAGGUAGUUCUCAAACAUGAAGGCACUACAAUUUUCCAGACAAAAAGUUUUCAGCAUCACUUGCUAUAUGUAACAUGGCAUGAGUGUUGUACACAAGGAACUCCUGUCCAUAGUGUGUCCAACCUUUUCCCACAAAGUUCAUUGGCAUAAUUGGAAUGUUCCUGCACAAGACUUGGACGUACUAAGAAUACCAUGGCCACAAGUACAUCUCCUCUGGCCUUCCUUCAACACAAUCUUUCACGUGUAUAUAAGGAACUAAUAAAAAUGGGUUACUUUCCAGCUGUCCAGCUCUAUAAGACUCCUAGGUUGUAGCGCAAAAGUAGAUGGGAUGCUGUUCUGAAGAGACAGUAGUCUUGUACUAAUCUCUGUAAUUUAGCUGGCUGAAACCCUAACAACUAGUAUCCUCGGAUCCAGAUGAACAGGAGCCUUUUCAUUACACGAGACAAGUCUGGUGCAUGUAAUCAAUGGGAAAUCACCUCACCGCAUCUUUGUGUUCCCACUGUGAUGCUGAGAUUUGAUUUCUGAAUGUUCAAUCUGUCCAGAGUAUGAGGUCAGCAGUCUCUUGGUAUGUGACUGUUAAACCACACACCUUUUUGCUCACAUCGGUCACAGCCAAAGUAACCUUAGCACAAGCUGGAGCAUCACACACAAAGCACCUCAGAUUAACUUUUAUUUUUCGUCCCAUGAAGUUAAUCCCAUCAUUCAUCAGAUGGCACAGUUCCCUUAAUGUGUCCUUCAAAAAGCCAAGAUCUUCUAUUGGUCGACUUAUGCCACAUGUCAAAGGUGUGUGGAAAAUAGCGACAGGAUCUAACAUGACUGCAAAGGACUGGCCACAUACAUGUUUUGGAGCUCUUGUACAAUGGUAAUCCAUCAACGUUAAAUGAUAAAUCAACACAAUGGAGUUUAACUACUUAAUCAAGCUGAGAGAGGAAGCACUUAUCCUGAGAUGAUAGGCCAUCUACAGGACAUCCAGCAGCUUGGAAAAUCCCUAAACAGGCCCCUAAAUGUUGAUCAUGAAGGUUUUUCCAGUAAAAUACCUCAACUUUCAACUAAAACUCAAGAAAACAAAAGUGGUCUGGUGUUUCCUCUCCUUUGCCCUAGCUGUCAACACAAGGCAAACCUCACCAGCUCCAAAUUUCUCUGGCACUGCAGAAAGAGGAAACUGACCUGAGGUUUCUGCUGGGAAUGCAGAGUGUUCCUAUUUCCUGUCAGAGGUCUGUGUCUCACAUUAUGUCCAAUGUUACAGUUUGUAUGAGAAUCUAUGUUGUCACUUGUGAAUAUUACUGUUGUUUGUUAACUUUCAAUAUACAGUUUUAUCCUGAUUAAAGCUUUACUGUACCCGAAUACUUGACUGAGUAGUAGCAUUUUUUUUUUUUAAUGUAUCGUUUGAACAUAGAAGUUUGUUGGUGUUUGUUGGAGAAGUAUGCAAUAUAAUUUAGCUAACUGGCUAGCAAAGCAAAACCCCGUUGGUCUUAAAAUAGCAACAUAAUACAUUUGAAAGAUAUUCUGGGGACAUCAGAGACUUUACAUCUUGAAUAAGUUUCAUUAUAUGACCCCUUUAAGGGCUAGAUAUUGUGAUAGUAUUUCUUUUGUAGAGUGAUGUUUCAUGUAGUCUGCCCUUCUUUCCUUGUCCGUGCCAUGCACUCUUGUAAAAGUUGGACAUUUGGUGUCCUCUUCAAGCAGUCUUUCUCCAAGUGGAUCCCUAUGGAGUAUUCAUCUUCUCCUGAUUCACUCUAUUCAUAAAAAACACAUGCCAUCAUUUAAUAACAUUAUGCUUUAACCUAUUCUUAAAUCCUGAAGAUUAUUCUAUUUGUGACUCUUGCCUCUUUAGACCUUCCUCUCUUUUGGUACAUGUCUUGGAUUACAUGGAUUACAUCCAGACAUCCAUUACUGUAAAUAUGAAUUAAGGUGUCAUAUUAUUUGGCAUACCUUUUUAUUUGUUGCCUUCUUGGUGUCACAUGUCUGUUGGAUGCUUGGAGAAAUCAUCUGGUUCCUUAUUCUGUUGAAUCUACUGCGAACAUUGUUUAUCUCUUCAAUGUCAACCAAGGGUGAUCUUUUUUUCUUGAAUUUGUUCUUAAGAAUCUCAUGCCAUGACUCCUUAAAUGGAAAAAUAACACUAUUAAUUAAACAUGUAUCACCUUCAAGCAGAGGUUGCGUUAGACUUUAGCACUGUCCGUCAUUUUGACGGACAGGAUAGUAAAAAUUCUGUCAUAUUCAAUUACCUGUCAUUUUAAUUUUUAUAU
Megalobrama amblycephala (Wuchang bream) is the source of this 6497-nucleotide long non-coding RNA. RefSeq lists it as uncharacterized. Lineage: Eukaryota; Metazoa; Chordata; Actinopteri; Cypriniformes; Xenocyprididae. The transcript is spliced from 4 exons. The record is from RefSeq and is a predicted model, not a curated record.